Small nucleolar RNA from Salvelinus namaycush (lake trout), 144 nucleotides. The record is from RefSeq and is a predicted model, not a curated record. NCBI's taxonomy places the organism in Eukaryota, Metazoa, Chordata, Actinopteri, Salmoniformes, Salmonidae.
CUUAAGUGAUGAAAUGAUAAUGAUUCGGAACAGGACACUGUCUGUGUGUGGUCACUGGAUCAGGGUCACGUUCUGUGUCUCUGGAUUCAAUUCCCCACAGCAGCGUGUUCUUCAGUUGAAGACAGAGGCAUUUGUCUGAGAAGG